AGAAUGAACGCUGGCGGCAUGCCUAACACAUGCAAGUCGAACGAAGCCUUCGGGUUUAGUGGCGCACGGGUGCGUAACGCGUGGGAAUCUACCCCUUGGUUCGGAAUAACAGUUGGAAACGACUGCUAAUACCGGAUGAUGACGUAAGUCCAAAGAUUUAUCGCCGAGGGAUGAGCCCGCGUAGGAUUAGGUAGUUGGUGUGGUAAAGGCGCACCAAGCCGACGAUCCUUAGCUGGUCUGAGAGGAUGAUCAGCCACACUGGGACUGAGACACGGCCCAGACUCCUACGGGAGGCAGCAGUGGGGAAUAUUGGACAAUGGGCGAAAGCCUGAUCCAGCAAUGCCGCGUGAGUGAUGAAGGCCUUAGGGUUGUAAAACUCUUUUACCCGGGAUGAUAAUGACAGUACCGGAGAAUAAGCUCCGGCUAACUCCGUGCCAGCAGCCGC
RNAcentral lists this ribosomal RNA (445 nucleotides) under uncultured bacterium. RNAcentral describes it as "SSU rRNA". It matches the Rfam family "Bacterial small subunit ribosomal RNA", at positions 26 to 518 of the family's 1533-position model. The record is from RNAcentral.